Molecule: ribosomal RNA, 896 nt
Filed under: Hypomyces virescens
Lineage: Eukaryota; Fungi; Ascomycota; Sordariomycetes; Hypocreales; Hypocreaceae
Description: LSU rRNA
Rfam family: Eukaryotic large subunit ribosomal RNA
Source: RNAcentral
UAGCAUAUCAAUAAGGGGAGGAAAAGAACCAACAGGGAUUGCCCCAGUAACGGCGAGUGAAGCGGCAACAGCUCAAAUUUGAAAUCUGGCCCCCCGGGCCCGAGUUGUAAUUUGUAGAGGAUGCUUUUGGCAAGGUGCCCCCCGAGUUCCCUGGAACGGGACGCCCCAGAGGGUGAGAGCCCCGUCUGGCUGGCCGCCGAGCCUUUGUAAAGCUCCUUCGACGAGUCGAGUAGUUUGGGAAUGCUGCUCAAAAUGGGAGGUAUAUGUCUUCUAAAGCUAAAUAUUGGCCAGAGACCGAUAGCGCACAAGUAGAGUGAUCGAAAGAUGAAAAGCACUUUGAAAAGAGGGUUAAACAGUACGUGAAAUUGUUGAAAGGGAAGCGCUCAUGACCAGACUUGGGCUUGGCGGAUCAUCCGGCGUUCUCGCCGGUGCACUUCGCCUCGCCCAGGCCAGCAUCAGUUCGCGCCGGGGGACAAAAGCUUCGGGAAUGUGGCUCCUCCGGGAGUGUUAUAGCCCGUUGCAUAAUACCCUGGGGCGGACUGAGGUUCGCGCAUCUGCAAGGAUGCUGGCGUAAUGGUCAUCAGCGACCCGUCUUGAAACACGGACCAAGGAGUCGUCUUCGUAUGCGAGUGUUCGGGUGUCAAACCCCUACGCGUAAUGAAAGUGAACGCAGGUGAGAGCUUCGGCGCAUCAUCGACCGAUCCUGAUGUUCUCGGAUGGAUUUGAGUAAGAGCAUACGGGGCCGGACCCGAAAGAAGGUGAACUAUGCCUGUAUAGGGUGAAGCCAGAGGAAACUCUGGUGGAGGCUCGCAGCGGUUCUGACGUGCAAAUCGAUCGUCAAAUAUGGGCAUGGGGGCGAAAGACUAAUCAAACCUUCUAGUAGCUGGUUCCCCGAU